CCUACGGGAGGCAGCAGUAGGGAAUAUUGGACAAUGGGUGCGAGCCUGAUCCAGCCAUGCCGCGUGCAGGAAGAAGGCCUUCUGGGUUGUAAACUGCUUUUGCCGGGGGAUAAAAGACCCAUGCGUGGGGAAUUGAAGGUACCCGGUGAAUAAGCCACGGCUAACUACGUGCCAGCAGCCGCGGUAAUACGUAGGUGGCGAGCGUUGUCCGGAUUUAUUGGGUUUAAAGGGUGCGUAGGCGGCCCCGUAAGUCAGUGGUGAAAUACGGCAGCUCAACUGUCGAGGUGCCAUUGAUACUGCGGGGCUUGAGUACAGUCGAGGUAGGCGGAAUUGACGGUGUAGCGGUGAAAUGCUUAGAUAUCGUCAAGAACACCGAUAGCGAAGGCAGCUUGCUAGGCUGUAACUGACGCUGAGGCACGAAAGUGCGGGGAUCAAACAGGAUUAGAUACCCUGGUAGUCCGCACAGUAAACGAUGGUCACUCGGUGUUGGCGGUACACGGCCAGCGCCUUAGCGAAGCGUUAAGUGACCCCACGUGGGAGUACGCCGCGAGGNGAACGACAANAGAGUGACGCGUGAGACGUGCCGACGGACGACGACGAGGGAGGAGG
This 609-nucleotide ribosomal RNA is filed under the name uncultured bacterium. RNAcentral describes it as "bacterial SSU rRNA". The stretch from base 1 to 533 matches the Rfam family "Bacterial small subunit ribosomal RNA", at positions 338 to 873 of the family's 1533-position model. The record is from RNAcentral.